UCAUUAUAUUAAUAAUAAUAGUUAUAAUAAUAGUAAUAAUAAUAAUAAUAAUAAUUUUUUAUUUAUUUAUUCGUUCAUUCAUUCAUUCAUUCAUUCAUUCAUUUUCACAUAAAUAACAGAUAUUUCACAGUAUAAAUGCACUGUUGCUUUAUUAUUCAUUAGAUAUCGAUUAGAAAUGUUUAAAUAUGUUUGUUUUAUAUAUUAUAAUCUUGAAAAAGAGAAAAGGUGAUUGAUUGGAAAAUGCACGAAAAAUUUAUUCGCCCGAUAUGAAAAAUAAAAAAUAAAAAAAUAAAAAAAAGAAGGAAAAAAUAAUAAAAAUAUAAAGGAAAAAGAAAAGCAAAAAGAAAUAUUUAAAAAAAAAUCUCUUCGAUUGCUCAAUGCUCGAUGAUAUUCACACGGCACGUUUACUUUAUAAAAAGUCUUUAGCGACUAUUCUUGGGUAAAAUUGACCUCUCUACUAUAACUUUAUAUGAUAUAUAUGUAUAUCAAUUUUCCCGUGUAUAGAGCUUGUAUAAUUUAAGCCGUCCAAUGAAUCACUCGGUGAGAAUAAUUACGAUAAAAUGUCAGAAGUUGGUGCUCUUGCAUUAUCUAAUUAUAAGGGUGAAUCGUUUAUUCGUGCAUUAAUGCCACCACCGCUUUAUGUUCUAUUAUCAUGUGAAAGAGAAAGAGCAAGAGAGAGAGAGAGAGAGAGAAAGAGAAGAGAGAGAGAGAGAGAGAGAGAGAGAGAGAGAAAGAAUGCUUUUAUUAAUGCGUAUGUAUAUGUAUGUAUGUAUGAGUCUGUUAUCUUUUCUUCCUAAAACAGUGAUUGAUUUUCAUGCAAAACAAAGUAUGAUUUCAUAGAAAGUGACACUGUUUUUUCCGUUGUUCUAUUAACACCUUCUCUUUUUCUAUUCGGCACUAUUAUUUUCCUAUAAUCAAUUUCUCUCUGUUUGAUACUCAAUAAUAUAUAUAUAUACAUACAUAAAGUCGCGCACAGUUAUUAAAAUAUUUCGUAUUAUAAUCCGUUGUAUAUCUUUUCGUACAAAACGAAUGAGGAUAAUAGAUAAAAUAAAAAGGAUUAAAAUAUAUUAAAUAGACACACACACACACACAUGCGCGCGCGUAUGCACGCACAUAAGGAAAUCAGUUAAAAUUGUACAAUUGAUUUAAAAUUUAUUUACAAUUUAGAUUUGAUUUAGAAUUGAUUUAGAAUUGAUUUAGAAGUUAGAAUGAUAUUUUAGAUUUUCUCUUCGAUGAUAAAUUUGAUUUAAAAAAAGAAAAAAAAAAAUAUGAAACUGUGCCAAAUCAAAAUGAAAGUAUAUAAAAGGGAAAGAAGGAUAAGAUUUUUGAGGAAAUCGUGAAGGAAUAUAUGAAAAGAUUGAUAUAUAUAUAUAUGUAUAAUUUUUUUUUACGAUUAUACUCUACUCUUUUAUUCUUUUCUCGGAACCCAAUGCGUAUAUGAAUGUGUUCUACGUAUUAAUCGGUAGUACGAGAACGAAGCAUUGAAUCCUAAAAGACUAGUUCCUCGUGUGCGUAUUUUUUAACUCGCAAUACGUGGUCUCUCCACGUGCUGUUUUAUUUAUAAGCCUACGGAAGAUGUAUGUCUAUAUUUUUGAAGUUAACCUUAAAAAAGCGCAUUGGGGUCGGAUUUAAUAUAUACAUAGCCGGAGUAAAAUUUCGAAUUGAAGUGUACAAAAAAGAAAAAAAAAAAAAGAAAAAAAAAAAAGAAAAGAAAAAAUUCAAUAAAAGAUUAACAAAAAAAGAAAAAAGAUAUAUAUAUAUAUCUGAUGAAAACAAAAAAAAAUCGUGAAUAAUUUAUGGUAAAAAGAUGGAUCCAAAAAAGAAAAAAAGAAAAAAGAAAUUGUAUUUUAGGGGAAAAAAAAAAAAAAAAAUUCUAAAUAUUUCCUUGUAAGUUUUUUAAGGGUCCAUAACAACAAACGAGUGAUAUCUAAUUGACAUAGAUGCGAGUAUGUAUGUAUGUAAACGAAUGUUUCAUUCGAAUGCUUUUGAGAGAGAACGUGACAAGAAUAUUUUUUAUGUUAUUUAUUAUUCGAAAGCUAUACAAUCACACGGACGUGCGUACGUACACAUACACACACAAACACAUACAGAUAGAGAGAGAGAGAGAGAGAGAGAGAGAGAGAGAGAGAGAUAAUUCAAGGUAGCUUGGGAAUGUAAUAUACGUAGUUUUUAUCGUUUAAUAACUCGAGUUUGCACGUGUUUCAUUUUUUAUCGAGUAAUUUUCUGUCUUAUGACUCUUGACAUAACCUCUCUUUCCCUCUCUCUCUCUCUCUCUCUCUCUCUCUCUCUCUCUUUCUCUCUUUUCUGUCUAUCUCUCUUUCUCUUUCUUUUUCUCUCUUUUUUUUUCUUCUUCUUUUUGGCUAUGUAUGUGCGUAUGUUUGUGUAUUCUCUCUUCGUCAUAAACGACCUUCAAUCAUUCCGCAAAAAAAAAA
Vespa mandarinia (Asian giant hornet) is the source of this 2432-nucleotide long non-coding RNA. NCBI's taxonomy places the organism in Eukaryota, Metazoa, Arthropoda, Insecta, Hymenoptera, Vespidae. The record is from RefSeq and is a predicted model, not a curated record.